GUAUUGUUGUCUCCAAGUGGGACAGAUAAAAGUCUCCUCCAUGCCUGACAAUGCAUGACUUUGAGAACUAGCAUCAGUUAUUUUUUAGGCACCUGCAUUUUCCCAUCUCAAUUUGCUCCAUCACAAGUAGUGCACUGUUGGAUUUCCAGAAGCCUUGUAUCAAUUUGAGUAUUGCCUUUUGCACUUGAGCCCCAGCUGAGCAAAAGUACUGUUCAGUGGUGCAGUGGAAGGAGGCUGGACCCCUUUAAGAGUCUUUGAUCACAGUCAUGUAAGCAGCAAGCUGGUUUUCAUGCCAACUAGAGCUUCCCACUAACCACCUCUAGAAUGCUAGAAUCAGUCAGGGUUGGAAGGGACCACAGGGAUCAUCUAGUUCCAACCCCUCUGCGAUGGGCAGAGACACCCUGCCCUAGAGCAGGCUGUCCAGAGCCUCAUCCAGCCUGGCCUUAAACACCUCCAGGGAUGAGGCCUCAACCACCUCCCUGGGCAACCCAUUCCAGGCUCUCACCACUCUCCUGCUGAGCAACUUCUUCCUCACGUCCAGUCUGAAUCUUCCCCGCUUCCAGCUUUGCUCCAUUCCCCCUAGUCCUGUCCCUACCUGGUAGCCUGAAAAGUCUCUGCCCAGCUCUUUUGCAGGCCCCCUUCAGCUACUGGAAGGUCACAAUAAGAAUAACAGAAAAUAACCAGGAGAACUGUACUGGAAUGAAUGACAUUUCCACAUGGGAAUAUUGCUGGUGUCUUUCAGAGUCUUUUCAUCUUCCCUGGACUAACUGAAAACCCCUCUUUCAGUAUGUGACCUUGCCUGAGUUGCCUGCUGUUGUGGUCUUCAAAGAUGGAGCUUCCUUUGUUUCUGAUGGUAAGUAAAAGUGGAUAUUGGCCAUAUCAUGGAAUCAGCCAGGCUGGAAGAGACCUCCAAGAUCACCCAGUCCAACCUAGCACCCAGCCCUAACCAAUCAACUGGACCCUGGCACUAAGUGCCUAACAACCAGCCUGUACCUCUCUUGGCACAACUUGAGACUGUGUCCCCUUGUUCUGUUGCUGGUUGCCUGGCAGCAGAGCCCAACCCUAGCUGGCUACUGCACUGCUCCUGUGCACUGCGGCCCUCCUCUGGACCUGCUCCAGCAGGUCCUUGUCUCUUCUGUUGGAGGUUCUGUAGCUGUGUGCAGUACUCCAGGUAGGUCUCACCGGAGCAGGGCAGACUCAUAGACUCAGAGUCAAGCAGGUUGGAAGAGAGCUCCAAGCUCAUCCAGUCCAAUCUAGCCCCCAGCCCUGUCCACUCAACUAGACCAUGGCACUAAGUGCCUCACCCAGGCUGUUCCUGAGCGCUUCCAGACACGGUGACUCUGUGGUGCCACAGCAAAAUACUCCAGGUGGGCCCUCAAGGGUAUUCUUUGAGCUGUCAUGGAAGGGCUGUGCUUGCCUUCCUCUUCGCUCUAUUGCCUUGCAACCAGUCACCCACCAAAGAAAAGUUCACUCAGUGACCUCCUUGAUCUGCAUUUGAUUUAGUUUUACUUUUGAAGUGGCCUGGAGAAGGAAAUUUUGUCAAAGAGAAACAAUUUUAAACUGCUGUUUUGUGGUGUGACCUGUCUGCUUUUGCCACCCCUGUCAAAACACACAAGCCUUGUUUCAAUCCAGGCUCCUAAUUCACUUUGCCCAAAUCUUACUCUCUUAAAAUGUAUUAGAAGGGUUUUUGUAAACCAGUCAGUGCAGAGGCCCUGCAAGAGACUGGAUAUUGUUUUAUGUGCAGCUUACCAUUGGGCAGGAAAGUGCUGUCAGUCACAGUUCCCUUCCCAUGUCACAUUCCCUGCUGGGAGAGGAUUGUUUGUCCUUGGUUUGGGUGAAACUAAUCAGCCAAUCAGCACUGCAUGCUGUGCUCUAAUACACUUUUUGUUCAACAGCUGCAAAUUGCUUUAGCAGCUUAGGAGUGACAUUUCUGGAAAGGUGAGAGACCUUGUCUGGAAACAGUAGAGGGUUAAAAAUAGGCUUCUCUAGGCUGAAAUAAAUGUUAUUGCCCACCUCACAGCAGCAACAGAAGAACACAUUCUGCUUGCUUGCUUGCUUUCUCUUUUGUUGUCAGAGUGUGAAGAUGGUGAUUUGUCAUCCUGGAUAAACAGAGCAAGAUUUCAAGGGUAUCUUCAUGUGGAUGGCUUUACACUUCAUGAACUUGGAGACAGAGGAAAACUUGUGGCUAUUGCAGUCAUUGAUGAUAAAAACUCUUCAGUGGAACAUACCAGGAACAGAACUGAGUGUUGGUGACAGUGUGGGAGAAGUUUGCUGAUAUGAUGUAGAGAACUUGGGGAAGUUUGUUAGAUCUGAAGAGAUGCCAGGGCUGCUUUGGAUUGUCUUCAGCCGCAGUGCUGCCUCUUGAGGAGUCAGUGGACGGAGCGAAGCAGCCUGAAUGUCUGAGACUCUAGGAGUCAGCCUUUCAACCCUUAGACACCAAGCAAGACUAAAAUCUGUCACUCAGGAAGUUGCCAGAGAUUAUGGGGAUAGUUUUCACAGGGAUUUCCAGUUUGGCCACAUGGAUGGGAAUGACCACAUGAACAGUUUGCUAAUGGAGAGAGUCCCAUUUCAUUCUUGAUGCUUUCUUUAAGAGAGGCAUACAACUGAGCUCCCUCAGAGAAGCAGCAUGAAGUGCAUGAAGGAUGCUGGCUGCACUCAGUACAGACAAGGCACAUUGGAGUAGGUUAACAAGAUGCUUGACAUUUGCCCUUAAUGGUCAUUGUCUUCAAAUGCAUCAUUCGGGAGUGAAGUUGCUUGGCAUUUGCAGUUGACUACUUCUUCUCUGGCCUUUGGAGUGAAGGAAGGGAAAAACCAGAGUUGAAGAUGUCAGCUCUGUAAGUUUUCUCUGGGUGAUCAAAGCAUGCACAACAUCCUGUGCUUGUGCUCUGGAAGAUUCUAGGAGCUUCACGGGGACUCAGGGAGCACAAGUUCUGGAUUUCUGUGGGCUGUCUCUAGAUGAACACCUGAAUGCAGUGAAUCUAAAAGCAGCUGUCUCUCAUUUGAAGUUAAAGUGAUGUGAGUGAUCUGGUGCU
Molecule: RNA transcript, 3032 nt
Organism: Pogoniulus pusillus (Red-fronted tinkerbird)
Lineage: Eukaryota; Metazoa; Chordata; Aves; Piciformes; Lybiidae
Exons: 6
Source: RefSeq, a predicted model, not a curated record